RNAcentral lists this ribosomal RNA (399 nucleotides) under uncultured bacterium. Its description in RNAcentral is "bacterial SSU rRNA". It matches the Rfam family "Bacterial small subunit ribosomal RNA", at positions 358 to 773 of the family's 1533-position model. The record is from RNAcentral.
GGAAUAUUGCACAAUGGGCGAAAGCCUGAUGCAGCAACGCCGCGUGUGCGAAGAAGGCCUUCGGGUCGUAAAGCACUUUUCUGGGAGACGAGAAAGGACAGUAUCCCAGGAAUAAGUCUCGGCUAACUACGUGCCAGCAGCCGCGGUAAAACGUAGGAGGCGAGCGUUAUCCGGAUUCACUGGGCGUAAAGCGCGUGCAGGCGGUUUGGUAAGUUAGGCGUGAAAGCUCCCGGCUCAACUGGGAGAGGUCGUCUAAAACUAUCAGACUCGAGAGCGGUAGAGGAAAAUGGAAUUCCCGGUGUAGUGGUGAAAUGCGUAGAUAUCGGGAGGAACACCAGUGGCGAAGGCGAUUUUCUGGACCGUUUCUGACGCUCAGACGCGAAAGCGUGGGGAGCAAAC